AAGGCGCGCUCGCCCCACCCUCGCGCGGCUGCGGCCUCGCGCGGGCGCUAACGGCCGCUUCCCGCGGCCCCCGGUAGGUCGGUUGUAGCGGCGGGAGGGGCCCUGCUGCGGCGCCGCUYCCCGGCCUCGCUUCCCCUUCCGCCAGCCGCGGGGCGGCCCUGCGCGCGCGCUCCGCCGUUAACGGUCGCUAACGGUCGCUGCCGCGCGGCGCGGGCCUGUGAGGCCCAGGGGCUCUCCGGCGUCCUUUCGCCUUGUCCUCCGCUCAGAGCGCCUUUGCUGGGGCUAGGGGGAAGGAGCCUCCGCUAAAGCACAAGCGAGCGCUUCCAGCCUGCCUCAAGUGCGUCUCCUGCCUUCUGCCCCAGCAGGCGUGCUCGCAGCAGGCUGUGAAGCCCGGCCUGGCUGUAGCACGCUGCCCCUUUGCUGCGGAAAAGCUUAGCGUCUUGCAGCGCACUUUACUAACUUCAGUUCCGUACCACAUUUUUGUUUGAUUCAAAUCUCCUGUGGAGGCAAGAGUAACCAAGUUGCCUGCGGUUAUGCAAAAAGAAUAAGAACAAGAGUCAGAAUUAACUUUCAGAAAUCUUAAUACCACCUCUUCUUAGCCCAUUCCAGUCUUUUCAUGUGUAUGUGGGGUGCCAUCAGAUGAUUCACCUUCAAGUAGCAUCAGUAAAAAUUCUCUUGGAUGGUUUCAAAGAUCCAACCAGUUUACAGUCCAAAACUGUCCAUUUAUAUCUCCUUGGGUGCCAUUCAGUGACAGAAACAUAAUCAUCUUUAAGCCCAUCUGCUGGAUUAGCUUUUGGAUUUCACUUCUGGUGUUCUGUGUAUGCUACCACUACAGAAUUCCUAUUACAGCACCUUUUCUUCAUGUCACUCCCAAAACAUAGACAUUAUAAUUAGGUGUCUGCAUUUUAAUGAGCACUUGUAGCUGUAUGUAAAUACUUUAAAAUCACAGUAUAGCAGAGUUCUAAAAGUGUUAAGGGUUUUUUAUUUUGUGCUAUGUAAGAUGGAUGUGUUUUUAAUAUGGUAGAAAAGCUAGUACUUUCCUGGGCAGUAUGACAAUAUUAUAUAUGAAUUAAAGCUACUUCUGAAUUGUCUGCUCAAGUUCCACUGUGACCGCUCAGUGUUUAUUAAAUAAUUUAUUGAUAACAUCUUGAAAUCUGCCUGUGAUAAAAUAUUCAUGUACCUAAUACAGUAUUUUCAUGCUAAAACAGCAGUGAUGACUGGCCAUGUAAAAUACUUUUAGUAAACUCUUUUAAUCUAAAAUAAGUCUAGUAUUUCUAAUCACUUAGUAAUUAUUUAAAAUUUUAAUUUUCCAGAGGAUGAAAUUAUGUCCUAGCCCUGCUGUAAAAAUUGUUUUUAUAGGCAUUUACUUCAUAUGAUUUAAAAUGAAGUCCUAGAUAAUGAUUUUGCAUUUGAGUGUUUAAUUACUGAUGUCAAUACAUAAACAUCAUAACUCUACUCAGAUAAUAAUUAAACUUAAACUGGUAGUAAAGGAAGUUUAGCUUCCUGGAAAUUUUAUCUGAAACUUUUCAGUACAAACUGAACUCCACUACAAGUCUGCAUCUACUACAUGUUUGGAAGUAUCAAUAUCAGAAAUGAAACAAUUUAGUUUUAUAUAAGAAAGUUGGGCAAUAGGUAAUUUCCAUUUUUAUGCUGUGUACAUUUAGUUUUAUGGGCUUUGAAGAGUAAAGUGGUGUUUAUUCUUUUACUAGUUAGAAAAACUAUUUUGAUCUUUAGUUAUUUUUAAAUUCAUAAGAAAAGGCCUAAUACAGUUUUUGGCAUUUGCUAAUAUUUAGCAUUACAUUUAUUGCACAAACCACAUUGUUUAAAGUCA
Long non-coding RNA from Apteryx rowi (Okarito brown kiwi), 1831 nucleotides. The record is from Ensembl. NCBI's taxonomy places the organism in Eukaryota, Metazoa, Chordata, Aves, Apterygiformes, Apterygidae.